UACGUAGGUGACAAGCGUUGUCCGGAUUUACUGGGCGUAAAGAGCGCGCAGGCGGUCGUUCAAGUCGAGUGUGAAAUCCCCCGGCUCAACUGGGGAGGGUCACUCGAUACUGAUCGACUCGAAGGCAGGAGAGGGAAGUGGAAUUCCCGGUGUAGUGGUGAAAUGCGUAGAUAUCGGGAGGAACACCAGUGGCGAAGGCGACUUCCUGGCCUGUUCUUGACGCUGAGGCGCGAAAGCUAGGGGAGCAAACGGG
This 253-nucleotide ribosomal RNA is filed under the name uncultured bacterium. RNAcentral describes it as "partial 16S ribosomal RNA". It matches the Rfam family "Bacterial small subunit ribosomal RNA", at positions 524 to 776 of the family's 1533-position model. The record is from RNAcentral.